AGGCUCAGGAGGCACCAGGAAUGCUCUUGUACCUUGCUGAGGAUAAUGAGGCUGGAGCCACUCGAAAAUAUUCGAGUAAUACCCGCGUCAGAUACCCACCCUAACAUGCGUCGUCCGACUCAGAGUUGAAAUUCGCGCUAGCGCUGCGGACGUUUACUAACCGAUUCCACUUAAAGCUUGAUAUCAACACGCUGGAAGCACACGCGUACUGAACUCUGCAACCAAUUUAAUGCUGCCGGUGGAGGACGCUGCCUCUACAUGCUAUCCGAUUUGACCUUGUCCAAUUUCAAGAUCCUAUCCACCCACAUAGCCUUGUUUUCAUGCCUUUGAAAUUUUAAAAGUUUACAAUAUUCUUCAUCAUAUCGAAUCUUUAGACAUAUAUAUAUAUAAUAUUAAAUAUAGAUAAAAAAUAACUAAUUAUAUAGUCUAGUUAGUCCACAACUGGACACUAAUUAUCAAAUACAAACGAAUGUGCUACAGU
RNAcentral lists this long non-coding RNA (481 nucleotides) under Sorghum bicolor (sorghum). RNAcentral describes it as "long non-coding RNA (SBIC_LNC015127)". The record is from RNAcentral. Lineage: Eukaryota; Viridiplantae; Streptophyta; Magnoliopsida; Poales; Poaceae.